CCAAUAGCGUAUAUUAAAGUUGUUGCAGUUAAAAAGCUCGUAGUUGAACUUCGGGGUCUACCCAUUGGUCAGGCUUAAUUGUCUGCACUGGUGAGAUGGAUCUCUACCUUCUGAGGAACUUUCAUGCCAUUUAUUUAGUGUGAUUGGAAAUCAGGACUGUUACUUUGCAAAAAUUAGAGUGUUUAAAGCAGACUAUCGUCUGAAUACAUUAGCAUGGAAUAAUGAAAUAGGACGGACUGAUUCUAUUUCGUUGGUUUCUAGGAUCACCGUAAUGAUUAAUAGGGAUAGUUGGGGGCAUUAGUAUUCAAUUGUCAGAGGUGAAAUUCUUGGAUUUAUUGAAGACUAACUACUGCGAAAGCAUUUGCCAAGGAUGUUUUCAUUAAUCAAGAACGAAAGUUAGGGGAUCGAAGACGAUCAGAUACCGUCGUAGUCUUAACCAUAAACUAUGCCGACUAGGGAUCGGACGAAGUUAAUUUUAUAAUGACGCGUUCGGCACCUUACG
This 502-nucleotide ribosomal RNA is filed under the name uncultured Glomeromycotina. RNAcentral's name for it is "partial small subunit ribosomal RNA". It matches the Rfam family "Eukaryotic small subunit ribosomal RNA", at positions 591 to 1092 of the family's 1831-position model. Lineage: Eukaryota; Fungi; Glomeromycota. The record is from RNAcentral.